Molecule: long non-coding RNA, 651 nt
Organism: Penaeus indicus
Lineage: Eukaryota; Metazoa; Arthropoda; Malacostraca; Decapoda; Penaeidae
Exons: 8
Source: RefSeq, a predicted model, not a curated record
AGGUGUUGAAAUCCAAAUUCUGCAAAGCAAGAUCUACAUUUUGCAUAUCCAUAGGUAGCUAUUACAGUUUGUCUUUUCAUCAUAAGACUGACUGUUCAAGGAGCAAUAUGUAUUUGAGAUUGUCAUGUUUAUCUUUUUUCACCAAAUAACAAUGGAUGCUGUAGAGCUGCUCUCUGUAUUUAACUAAUGCAAGCAUUGAGAUCCAGAUACUGCAAGGCCUACUUUUGGAAUUGGGGCAUUGGUUGCAAGACUCGCCCCACCAUCAUUCAGCUGUAUGAGAGCAAACAAGGAUCUGCAUUUUGCUAGCCGUACUGAAGACUUAAUUGAAAAAGGUAUUCCAGUAAAUGACUGCAUCAUAAGGCUGACUCUUCAAGGAGUGAUAAACUGUUGAAGUUGAAAUGGUAUAAAUGGGAACCAAUUGAAAUGGCUGCUCUUCCUUGGAUGAACUAAGGUAAAAUGUCAGUUUGUAUUUCUGGAAGUAGAUUGUGACAGUGGGAUUUGGUGGGCAGCAAUAAUACUGUGUUUCAUGUGAUGUUUCUUAUUACUUUCGUUCUCCUGAUAGUGCUUGAUGUCAAAAUGACCACUGAUAAUGCUAGAAUCAAAGCACAUGAAGUUGUAGCAGCAGUUUUGGUUUCAUAAUUUAUUGCUCUU